Chrysemys picta bellii (western painted turtle) is the source of this 2718-nucleotide long non-coding RNA. RefSeq lists it as uncharacterized. The record is from RefSeq and is a predicted model, not a curated record. Lineage: Eukaryota; Metazoa; Chordata; Testudines; Emydidae.
CUUUUUUAUAUCAUAAGACAGCUGGAAGCUGAAUUGCCCACUCCUCAAGAACAGCAUUCUGGUUUACACUAUCAAGCGUUUAUUAGCAGUCCAGUCGCACCCCCCCAUACAGAAUUCUAGUCUGAAAAUCCUACUAGAUUCAUCACAGAAAUUUAAUUUGAAACAGGUGUGUAGCUUGGUUACAAACGCAGCCAGUAGUUUAUGGGAUGGGAUUGGGAAAGGAGUCUGUAAACCAUGCACGCAAGUGCAUGCUUUGCUCAGCAGUGUUUCCCUUGGUUACUCCCCCCUCCCCAUUGCAAGAUUUAACAGAGGAAGCAGUGUUACUAUUCUUCAAAGCCUUCCUAGCUUCAGCAAUAGAGAAUUUAAACAGGAAGCUUCUGAAGAUGGAGACAACUCAAAGAAAUGUCCCUACUUACCUUGCCCUGUCGAUCUUUAACUUGUUGUGUUGCUGCCUCCCACUUGGAAUAGCUGCUCUCAUCUAUUCUCUCAGAGUAGAGAAUGCAGCUGGGACAGGUGACAUGGAGCGAGCGUCCCAAGCUUCCCGCACUGCCCGCAUACUGAAUAUCAUCGGGAUUGUCAUAGGAGUAAUUUUCCUCAUCAUUAUAAUUGUCGUAGUGGUAGUGGGGAGAACUGCCAAGUGAUAGAAGCCAGCGUCAUCUUCGAAAAACUCACCGGCGCUGGACAAUAGCCAUGUAUCCAGUGCGAGCCCUCCUACCUACUCAAAGAGCCAACUGGGCGCAAAAAGGGGAGUCCUCGGCACCACUGAGACUGCCAGCCAGAAGCUGCGUCAUGCACAAGCACCAGCCUGUCCUUUUAGAAGCAUUUCUCCAUAAUUAAUUGCUUUGCGCUUUUGAAUUAACCAGAUUAACAUGUUUUUCUCUAUUGGUAUGCAAAUAUAUUGUAACAAGAUACAAUAAAAAAGGAUUUGUAUACAAGUGUCUCCCUACAAGUUUGUUUCAUGUUGGAUUAAUAUACGGGGCCAAAGAAUCAAAGGUGUUAAUGUAACCAUGAAACUACCCAACAUUAAACAAGGUUCGGGUUUUUGUGUACAGAGACCUCAACCUGUUUAAUACCCUGGCCAACACACCACUAAAGAUGCUUUUAAACUUUUAUUAAAGAUACAGAAACAAAAGGAAAAGUGUUGCAAAAUAUAUGGUCUUGGCCAGCUAAGCCAUACUAUUAUUAGACAGAAGGGAAAAGGAGAGGGCUAGGAAAGAAAAGAACUAAGGUGCGGGAAAGGAAAGGGCACAUAGGAGUAUGUGUCUAUGUGAGGCACUAGUUUCCCAUCCCAGGUAGUGCUCAGGGGUUAGCCAGAUCUGGUGGGCAUGGUGAGGUCAUCUGAGGUCCCUCUCUUUGGCCUGGUCUGGUCAGGACAUCUCUUGGGAUUAGGACAAAAAAGGCACAAUGGAGUCACACUAAAUCCCAGGAGACUGCUUGUUUAGAAAGAGCUGUGUGGUAAUUUAUAACUGCGGGAAGUUACACGGUUGUCAACCUCAGAGGCGGAAGCAAAACAGGCCUUCUUAGUUAGACUGUCAUUUGCUGGAAAUAACACAAUGAAGUCCGGGAACUGUUCAGCCUGGAAAUACCCCAGUCAGGAGGGAGACAGAGGCAGGGCUCCACCCAAGAAAGGCAACAGCUAUGGGAGGGUUAGGGGUGGAAGCCCCACAUCCUUUCAGAAAGAUAAAAAUGAAAUAAACACACUAUCAUUUUUUUGCAACAUCAACUUGAUGCAGCUACAUUUUAUUCCAGCUCUUCUUGCAUGGCUGCCAAAGAGAGAUGCCCAGGGCAAAAAAUGGUCAGAUUAAAGUGACUGCACGCGGUGGAAUAUUGCAGCUGAUUCUCCAGCUGCCUUUACAAGGUGUGGCUAGGCCUAUGGUAUCUGCACAUUCAAAAGAGCCAGAAACGAGCAUUUGCUACAUGUUUGUAGCUUCCAUAGUUCAGAGUCAGUUAGAGGAUGGUUGGCUUUUUUCCAUACAAAAAUCCUUAUUUUUAAUCAAUAUGCAAGGUGACUUGUCUAACCAAGAGACCCCUUCUUAGUGGUGCUCUCAUGCCCUAGGAUUUAUAGAGCUGAAGUAAAGAACCUGGGACCCCUCAGGGUCCAGUAAAGCUCUCCCUGCUCCUACCAUCAAUGGAAAAAUCUACUGGGGUCAAGUCUUCAGCCUCAGAUCCAUUUUCUUUUCAGGGCUUCUCAAAACCUUUCACUCCACAACAUUUUUCUUCCAGAGGGCAGAAAAUCCCUGUGCUCUAAUGGAGCCCCUGCUGCUUGGUAAACAUUCAGAUGGGGAAACUGUAUCUCUGUUGCAAUCACUCUUUCCUAUGCUCCAGGAAGCGUGUGUAUUUCUUUCUUUCGUGAAGCAUGAGUUACGGUAAUUAGAAACUAGGGGCCCUAGUCUGUGUGGUGGGAAUGGCCUGACUCAGUUGAAAAUAUUGCACAUAAGAAUCUCCCCAUUCCCAUUACUUGUCCUUUCUUUUCAGGCCAUUGAGAAUUACAGUAAUGUGGAAGAGGAUUCGGGUGCUGGUGUGUGUGUCUGGGAGGGGCCUCCCCCAUGCAAGCUUUUGAAAGGGUAUUUACACAGGCUGGAAGAAACUAAAAAGCAAGAGGCAUCCACGUUCCCUGCAUUGGCCAAGCCGCAGGCUACAAUGACUGAACCGUAUUCAACCAGAGCGGAAAAAGGACGAAUUGAGAGAAGCAGGAGUGGGAUCAGUGUUUGUACAGCU